GCCUGGGUGGCUCAGUCGGUUAAGCGUCUGACUUCAGCUCCGGACAUGAUCUCACAGUUUGUGGGUUCAGGCCCCACCUCGGGCU
RNAcentral lists this transfer RNA (85 nucleotides) under Felis catus (domestic cat). It matches the Rfam family "tRNA". From Rfam's summary of the family: Transfer RNA (tRNA) molecules are approximately 80 nucleotides in length. The record is from Rfam by way of RNAcentral. Lineage: Eukaryota; Metazoa; Chordata; Mammalia; Carnivora; Felidae.